GACGAACGCUGGCGGCGUGCCUAAUACAUGCAAGUUGAGCGCUGAAGGUUGGUACUUGUACCAACUGGAUGAGCAGCGAACGGGUGAGUAACGCGUGGGGAAUCUGCCUUUGAGCGGGGGACAACAUUUGGAAACGAAUGCCAAUACCGCAUAAAAACUUUAAACACAAGUUUUAAGUUUGAAAGAUGCAAUUGCAUCACUCAAAGAUGAUCCCGCGUUGUAUUAGCUAGUUGGUGAGGUAAAGGCUCACCAAGGCGAUGAUACAUAGCCGACCUGAGAGGGUGAUCGGCCACAUUGGGACUGAGACACGGCCCAAACUCCUACGGGAGGCAGCAGUAGGGAAUCUUCGGCAAUGGACGAAAGUCUGACCGAGCAACGCCGCGUGAGUGAAGAGGGUUUUCGGAUCGUAAAACUCUGUUGGUAGAGAAGAACGUUGGUGAGAGUGGAAAGCUCAUCAAGUGACGGUAACUACCCAGAAAGGGACGGCUAACUACGUG
This 497-nucleotide ribosomal RNA is filed under the name uncultured bacterium. Its description in RNAcentral is "partial 16S ribosomal RNA". It matches the Rfam family "Bacterial small subunit ribosomal RNA", at positions 28 to 507 of the family's 1533-position model. The record is from RNAcentral.